This 482-nucleotide long non-coding RNA is filed under the name Mus spicilegus (steppe mouse). RNAcentral describes it as "lncRNA (ENSMSIG00000008279.1)". The record is from RNAcentral. Lineage: Eukaryota; Metazoa; Chordata; Mammalia; Rodentia; Muridae.
UGUGGUAAGAGCAAGCAUUUGAUCCCAGCAUACAGGAGGCAGAGGUAUGUGAGUUUCUGUGAGCUCAAGGCCAGCCUGGUCUAGUUUUUAUAGUGAGUACCAAGCAAGCUAGACUACAUAGUGAGAACAUCAUCUCAGAAAAAAAAAAAGAUGUUUAUGAAUCACCUAGCACGCUUUAACUGACUAAUCACUGGUUAUUCCUAGCUAGCAGUGCCAACUGUGGACCACAAAGACAAUUCAGCCUCGUUCUUCCCCUUUGUUCUGCGUAUAACAGUUCGGUGGGGAGAAGAAGCCGGAGAAGGAGCUAGGGACUGAAGAACACCUCUGUCUUCGUUAGGAUUUUGCUGCUGUGAACAGAGACCAUGACCAAGGAACUGAUGCUGGCUAGACUGAAGCACCUGGAAUCCGUAGGCAAAUACUUUGUCUCUGUGUUACAAAUUUUGUUGGUAUGAUAAAUCGCCUUUAAAAAUGACUUAAAUGAA